This 253-nucleotide ribosomal RNA is filed under the name uncultured bacterium. Its description in RNAcentral is "partial 16S ribosomal RNA". It matches the Rfam family "Bacterial small subunit ribosomal RNA", at positions 524 to 776 of the family's 1533-position model. The record is from RNAcentral.
UACAGAGGGAGCGAGCGUUAAUCGGAAUUACUGGGCGUAAAGCGUGCGUAGGCGGUCGUGUAAGUAGGGUGUGAAAGCCCCGGGUUCAACCUGGGAAUUGCAGUCGAGACUGCACGGCUGGAGUGCGGAAGAGGGAAGCGGAAUUUCCGGUGUAGCGGUGAAAUGCGUAGAUAUCGGAAGGAACAUCAGUGGCGAAAGCGGCUUCCUGGUCCAGCACUGACGCUCAGGCACGAAAGCGUGGGGAGCAAACAGG